AUUGAACGCUGGCGGCAGGCCUAACACAUGCAAGUCGAACGGUAGCACAGAGGAGCUUGCUCCUUGGGUGACGAGUGGCGGACGGGUGAGUAAUGUCUGGGAAACUGCCCGAUGGAGGGGGAUAACUACUGGAAACGGUAGCUAAUACCGCAUAACGUCGCAAGACCAAAGAGGGGGACCUUCGGGCCUCUUGCCAUCGGAUGUGCCCAGAUGGGAUUAGCUAGUAGGUGGGGUAACGGCUCACCUAGGCGACGAUCCCUAGCUGGUCUGAGAGGAUGACCAGCCACACUGGAACUGAGACACGGUCCAGACUCCUACGGGAGGCAGCAGUGGGGAAUAUUGCACAAUGGGCGCAAGCCUGAUGCAGCCAUGCCGCGUGUAUGAAGAAGGCCUUCGGGUUGUAAAGUACUUUCAGCGAGGAGGAAGGCGUUGUGGUUAAUAACCGCAACGAUUGACGUUACUCGCAGAAGAAGCACCGGCUAACUCCGUGCCAGCCGCC
This 499-nucleotide ribosomal RNA is filed under the name uncultured Enterobacterales bacterium. Its description in RNAcentral is "bacterial SSU rRNA". It matches the Rfam family "Bacterial small subunit ribosomal RNA", at positions 30 to 516 of the family's 1533-position model. The record is from RNAcentral. Lineage: Bacteria; Pseudomonadati; Pseudomonadota; Gammaproteobacteria; Enterobacterales.